UGGGGAAUUUUGGACAAUGGGCGAAAGCCUGAUCCAGCAAUGCCGCGUGUGUGAAGAAGGCCUUCGGGUUGUAAAGCACUUUUGUCCGGAAAGAAAUCCUUGGCUCUAAUACAGUCGGGGGAUGACGGUACCGGAAGAAUAAGCACCGGCUAACUACGUGCCAGCAGCCGCGGUAAUACGUAGGGUGCAAGCGUUAAUCGGAAUUACUGGGCGUAAAGCGUGCGCAGGCGGUUUGCUAAGACCGAUGUGAAAUCCCCGGGCUCAACCUGGGGACUGCAUUGGUGACUGGCAGGCUAGAGUAUGGCAGAGGGGGGUAGAAUUCCACGUGUAGCAGUGAAAUGCGUAGAGAUGUGGAGGAAUACCGAUGGCGAAGGCAGCCCCCUGGGCCAAAUACUGACGCUCAUGCACGAAAAGCGUGGGGAGCAAACAGGAUUAGAUACCCUGGUAGUCCACGCCCUAAAACGAUGUCAACUAGUUGUUGGGGAUUCAUUUCCUUAGUAACGUAGCUAACGCGUGAAGUUGACCGCCUGGGGAGUACGGUCGC
Molecule: ribosomal RNA, 544 nt
Filed under: uncultured bacterium
Lineage: Bacteria
Description: partial 16S ribosomal RNA
Rfam family: Bacterial small subunit ribosomal RNA
Source: RNAcentral